This 435-nucleotide long non-coding RNA is filed under the name Ixodes scapularis (black-legged tick). RNAcentral's name for it is "uncharacterized LOC115328730, transcript variant X2". Lineage: Eukaryota; Metazoa; Arthropoda; Arachnida; Ixodida; Ixodidae. The record is from RNAcentral.
GCGUCUCAACACACCGGCCGGGCGUCCACUUACACGGGCAUGGUGGGAGGCCGCGGCGUCUCGGCGCAAGACAGGCAAUCACACACCGGCGACGAAGGAAGCGCGCCAGACGGUGUUUUGACCACGUCAGCAAGAGCAGCGCCGAGGAAGUCGGCAGCGCGCGCACACUCGCAGCUGUUCAAUCUUUCUUCGUUCCGCUGGCUGCCUUCGUAGCGUGCCCGGUAAGCCGACGACGCGCGUGCCACGGGUCCGGCUCGUCUCGCUCCAAACAAUGCCGAGCAGUGAAAGCAAAUGUUGAGUGCGCAAACAAAGCUGACGUGGAGACCGUCAUCAAAAUAUGGCUGCGCCACGCUGAAGAGAAACUGAAAAAGCUGCAGUCAAAGGCCGGAAAUGUUCGACAUAAUGAUCCCGCUGACUAUUCGGACUAGUGCUGGC